UGAGGAAUAUUGGUCAAUGGGCGAGAGCCUGAACCAGCCAAGUCGCGUGAAGGAAGACAGUCCUAAUGAUUGCAAACUUCUUUUAUACGGGAAUAACGGGCGAUACGAGUAUUGCAUUGAAUGUACCGUAAGAAUAAGCAUCGGCUAACUCCGUGCCAGCAGCCGCGGUAAUACGGAGGAUGCGAGCGUUAUCCGGAUUUAUUGGGUUUAAAGGGUGCGUAGGUUGUUCGGUAAGUCAGCGGUGAAACCUGGGCGCUCAACGUUCAGCCUGCCGUUGGAACUGCCGGGCUUGAAUUCAGUUGCGGCAGGCGGAAUUCGUGGUGUAGCGGUGCAAUGCAUAGAUAUCACGAGGAACUCCGAUUGCGAAGGCAGCUUGCCAUACUGCGAAUGACACUGAAGCACGAAGGCGUGGGUAUCAAACAGG
This 424-nucleotide ribosomal RNA is filed under the name Fusobacteriota bacterium. RNAcentral describes it as "Fusobacteria bacterium partial 16S ribosomal RNA". It matches the Rfam family "Bacterial small subunit ribosomal RNA", at positions 355 to 776 of the family's 1533-position model. The record is from RNAcentral. Lineage: Bacteria; Fusobacteriati; Fusobacteriota.